UUGUAAUAUUUCUUGCAGCUACUUUAUGCCAUUGCCCUGGAAACUGAGAACUUCUCAAGCCUUUAAGAAAGUUAUAUUUGAUAGCACCAAGCAACACACAGCAGCAGCAGCAGCAGCAUACUUUCUGAAAUUCCUUCCUACAGUGAUGAAGAAUUUCAAACUUUUUCCUCAAGAGGACAAGACCAAGAAUCACAAGCAUCCUGGCAGGCUAAUAAGCUGGGGCUACUUAUACCAAUUAUCUGUCUACCAUGUACUUCAUGGGUUGAGAAGAACCAGAUUCUGCUUUAAUAAAAAUUGUACUAAAUGGUAUGUGAAAUCCUGGAGCUCUUGGAAUAGUAAAAGGGCAUUAGUGGAAAAACUGGUGAUUCAAAUAAUCUGUAGUUUAGUUAAUAGUGCUGUACCAAUGUCUGUUUCUUAGUUUUGACAAAUGCACCGCGGUUCUGUCAAUAAUAACAUCAGGGGAAACUGGGUGAAGGCUAUAAAGGAAUUGUCUGUACUCUCUUUGCAACUUUUCUGGAAGUCUAGAAUUAUACCAAAUUAAAAUAAAGUAUUUAAAAACUCC
RNAcentral lists this long non-coding RNA (562 nucleotides) under Ursus americanus (American black bear). Its description in RNAcentral is "lncRNA (ENSUAMG00000023185.1)". Lineage: Eukaryota; Metazoa; Chordata; Mammalia; Carnivora; Ursidae. The record is from RNAcentral.